This 73-nucleotide transfer RNA is filed under the name Ornithorhynchus anatinus (platypus). It matches the Rfam family "tRNA". From Rfam's summary of the family: Transfer RNA (tRNA) molecules are approximately 80 nucleotides in length. Their secondary structure includes four short double-helical elements and three loops (D, anti-codon, and T loops). Further hydrogen bonds mediate the characteristic L-shaped molecular structure. tRNAs have two regions of fundamental functional importance: the anti-codon, which is responsible for specific mRNA codon recognition, and the 3' end, to which the tRNAs corresponding amino acid is attached (by aminoacyl-tRNA synthetases). tRNAs cope with the degeneracy of the genetic code in two manners: having more than one tRNA (with a specific anti-codon) for a particular amino acid; and 'wobble' base-pairing, i.e. permitting non-standard base-pairing at the 3rd anti-codon position. Lineage: Eukaryota; Metazoa; Chordata; Mammalia; Monotremata; Ornithorhynchidae. The record is from Rfam by way of RNAcentral.
AGCAGUGUGGCCUAAUGGAUAGAGCAUGGGCCUAGAAAUCCAAAGGACCUGGGUUCUAAUCCCAGCUCUGCCA